AUACAUAGGUCCCAAGCGUUAUCCGGAUUUACUGGGCGUAAAGAGUCUGUAGCCUGAUAUGUAAGUCUGUUUUCAAAUACUCCGACUCAAUCGGAGAAAGGGGAUAGAUACUGCAUAUCUGGAAGUUAUUGGGGGUUAGUGGAAUUUCCGGUGGAGCGGUGAAAUGCGUUGAUAUCGGAAAGAACGCCGAAAGUGAAAACAGCUAACUACAAUAAACUUGACGGUCAGAGACGAAAGCUUGGGGAGCAAACGGGAUUAGAUACCCCGGUAGUCCAAGCUGUAAAUUAUGCAUGCUAGAUGUUUUGGACCCUUGUGGUCUGGAGUGUCGUAAUCUAACGAGUUAAGCAUGCCGCCUGGGUAGUAUAUUCGCAAGAAUGAAACUCAAAUGAAUUGGCGGGG
This 399-nucleotide ribosomal RNA is filed under the name uncultured bacterium. RNAcentral describes it as "partial 16S ribosomal RNA". It matches the Rfam family "Bacterial small subunit ribosomal RNA", at positions 523 to 918 of the family's 1533-position model. The record is from RNAcentral.